Molecule: ribosomal RNA, 368 nt
Filed under: Chrysoperla sp. Tabouk2
Lineage: Eukaryota; Metazoa; Arthropoda; Insecta; Neuroptera; Chrysopidae
Also listed under: 1 other name
Description: partial 16S ribosomal RNA
Source: RNAcentral
AAUUAUUAAAGGGCCGCGGUAUUUUGACUGUGCAAAGGUAGCAUAAUCAUUUGUCUCUUAAUUGGAGGCUGGAAUGAAUGGUUGAAUGAAAUAUUAACUGUCUCAUUUUUAAAAUUUUAAAAACUUAGCUUUUAAGUCAAAAGGCUUAAAUGAAUUUAGAGGACGAGAAGACCCUAUAGAUCUUUAUAAUUUAUUUAAUUUUAUAAAAUAGAAAAAUAAUUAAUAAAAUUAAUAUAAUUAUUUUAUUGGGGUGAUAGGAAAAUUUAAUAAACUUUUUUUAUUUAUUAACAUUGAUUUAUGAUUAAUUGAUCCAUUUUUAGUGAUUAUAAGAUUAAGUUACCUUAGGGAUAACAGCGUAAUUUUUUUAG